Non-coding RNA from Podarcis muralis (Common wall lizard), 4481 nucleotides. Lineage: Eukaryota; Metazoa; Chordata; Lepidosauria; Squamata; Lacertidae. The record is from RefSeq and is a predicted model, not a curated record.
CACAGCCUUAGAGGGGAAUGAGGCUCAGUAGGAUUAGUGGCAGGAUGCUGUGUAAUAUAUUGGUGCUCUCCCUGGUCCCCGCGCCCAGGGAAGUUGUCUGAGGGGAUGCCAAUGAUGAUGGCGGAGUCGCCGCCUGCCUUCAACCUCCACCAGCGCCCUCGCCCACCGAAUUCUCCUGACGACAUAGGCACGUGCUGGCGGGGGAGGCCCGGCGUGAGGUGAGUUUGAACUCCAACGGACAACCGCCGUCCGCGGACGAAAGCCGCCGGGAAGCGGAAACGGCCGUUUGCCUGCCGGAGCUCGCCGCUUUCAGGGCGGGGAAGAGACCGCUCAGCCCGCAACUUUUGAAGGCGCCGAGGCCGCUCGCGAACACGUAAACUUUUCGCACGCGAAAGGGAUCUUGUGGGCGGCUCCCCGGCGGCCUCUCUCCCUGGCUCCGGCUCCCUCCUAGAAGCCCAUGGGCUUCUCGUACUUCGCGGAGGCCGAGGCCUCGUGGAAGGCGAGGGGCGACUUAAACCUCAGCUUGCCCGCCCCGGGCCCCGGCCGCCGGACCUACAUUUCGAUGCGCCAUAACCAUGACGACGACGCCGAUUUGUAUUACGACAGCUACCACCUCAUCGCGAAGAAGCGGCCGAUGAUUGUGCUCGUGGUUUUUAUGAGCUUCCUCUUGGGAGCCCUGUUACGAACAAUUAUCAAAGAAGUAAAAAUUCCUAUUCUGGUAAUUGUAUGUUUAGUAGGAACUGGCAUUGGAACAAUACCCCAUUUUUCAGCUCAGAUUCCUAUUGUGAAGAGCAUUGCAGAUAUAGAUCCUGUACUUUUCCUUCAUUUGUUUACACCAGUUAUAAUAUUUACAGCUGCAUUUGAGAUGGAUUUUUAUAUAUUUCGAAAAUCAUUUUGGCAGGUGUUAAUUCUUGCAGUUCCUGGAUUUUUGAUGAACUGUGCUUUCCUUGGAUGGUUAACUUAUAAAAUUAAUAAGUAUAAUUGGUCCUGGGAUGAUAGCAUGCUAUUUGGAAUAAUUCUUAGCACAACAGACCCUAUCCUUUCUGUGGCUUCUGUAAGAAACAUUGGGCUUUCAAAAAUAGUUGUCAACUUAAUAAAAGGCGAGUCUUUGUUUAAUGAUGCUACAACAGUAAUAAUUUUUGAGUUAUAUAGGGAUCUUGCAAAACAAACUCACCAAGAAUUGAUUAAAGAAAUUUUUAUAAAGUUGAUUUUAAAAUUUUUUGCAAGCACUGCUUUGGGAUUUUUUACUUCAAGAUUAGUUAGUUAUUGGUUGCAACAUAUUUUCAAUGAUGGAGUAGUUGAAAUAAUUGUAAGCUUCUCAAUGGCAUACAUUAUUUUCUUCAUCGCUGAAUGGCUUGGAAUGUCUGGAGUUAUUGCUAUUUGUAUUUUGGGCCUUCUUUUAGAUACUGUAAGCUUUAGUCCAGGAUUGGAUAUAUUUCUUUAUAAGUUCUGGUCAAUGUUGACCUUUUUGGCUCACAUUAUGAUAUUCCUUAUAACGGGAAUUGUGUUGGCUCAGAAGGCAUUUCCAUUUUUUAAUUCUCGUGCUAUUUUUUAUAUUAUAACAGUCUACCUUUCAUUAAAUCUUACAAGGGGUUUGGUUGUUUUUGUGUUGAGCCCUUUUUUGAGUCGUCUUGGCUAUGGAUUUAAUUGGCGUUGGGGAGCUGUUUUGAUUUGGAGCGGAAUGAGGGGCACCUUCACUUUGAACAUGGCUCUUGGAAUUAGCCAAACAGAAAGCAAAACUCCAAAUGAGUUUCAAAUUAAAACCAUGUUAUUACUGCAUUCAGGAACUGCGUCUUUGUUGACCUUGAUGAUUAAUUCUACCACUGUGAAAAGGCUGGUUACAACACUAGGCCUUUGUAAUAUUACUCUUCCAAAACGUAUGGCAAUGCAUAACGCUGUUCAGCGAAUCAGACAAAUGGAAGCCAAUGCAUUUGCAAUGCUGAAACUUGAUAGAUUUUUGGCUGAUGCAAAGUGGACAAUGGCUGAAGAAGCAAUUAAAAUAGAUUAUCCUUAUAAAUUAGAUUCAGAAGAAGUUGAUCAACUGAUCAAAUCACUUAGGUGUCCAGAAUGUGACGCCAAUGUUACAUUUGAAGGAAGUUCUCAACAAAUUGCUGACAUAAUGGAAGAAGCCAGAUUGCGUCUUUUAACGGCACAAAUAGCCAGUUAUCAGAAGCAAUACAACAGUGGAAUGCUGAACCAAGAUGCUGCCCAAACAUUAAUAGGUGCAGCAGAAAGCUAUGUUGAUAUUGAAGGAAAGUUUAUGAAUAUUCAUGAAGUAAAGACCUAUUGGGAAAGCAAAGGAGUGCUGGUAAAGUUGAAGAAAUUGCUAUCUGAUUGGGUUUACAGCGUGAAAGAGGAAACAUUUAAGGCACCAAAAAACAAGUUUUUAAGAAUGUGCCACCAUAUGGUAUUCAUGGAUGAAUUUGAAUAUAUAAGUACCAUGAUGACAUUUUUGAACUGUGUUCCUAUCGGUCUUCACUUUAUACCAAAGUAUUCUUCAACAUUUAUUCUAGAACUAAAAGUGUGCAACUACUAUUAUCUGGCUUUGUAUAUAUUGGAAGCAUUAUUUAAGGCUUUUGCAAUGGGGAGGACCUACAUCUUUUACCACUGGAACCAGUUUGAUCUUAUAAUCAUAGUAGUGGGAGUUGUAGAUGUCAUGAUUAUUAACCUCUUUAAAACACUCAGUACAACGUAUCAUAUGAUUAAUACUAUCAGGAUAUUUCGGUUUAUUCGUGUUUUAAGAAUUCUGCGGCUCUUUAAGCUUGUGAUACCUAGAACGAUUUAUUUAUUGGACAAGCAAAUAAACAGACAGCUCACUUUCCGGUAUGAUAUCGCUAAAGGAUAUGUUCAAGGUGAAGAAGAUACAAAUUGUUUAAUUGGACAGAUUGCUGGCCAUGAGAGAGUUUAUCAAGAAAUACAUAGAAUAUUGGAAAUGAACAAACAAGAGGCUAUGAAAGAGUUAGGGUUAAUGCAGCGUGAUUAUCCAGAGAUUGUCACAGGCGUGAAAACCAAACAAGCAGUCCAAACAGUGCUAAACACAGCUUCUGAAACUCUAAAGUUUAUGAUAUCGGGAGGAAUUGUUGACAAAACUGAAGGUGCUGAACUACAUAAGAUGAUUCUAAUUAAAAAACAACAGCUUGCAACACUUCCAUCUACAAUUGCACCUCCUACUGCACAAGAACUUCUGCGUAAUGUAAUUUGGCUACAGAAUGACAAAAAACAGGUAGAAUACAUUCAGAGAAAAGCAAAAAUUCUUUAUUAUGAUUAUGGAGAUAUGAUAUGUGAGGAAGGUGAAUUACCACAAGGAAUCCAUUUAAUUGUAUCAGGAAUGAUAAAGCUUUCUGGUUCCAUUCCUCGUUAUGGAGUUAGCAAAGAAGCUUUUAAAGAAAUCCGCGCACGUCUUCCAGUCACUUCCUAUACAGACUACCUGGUUGCUGGGGCUAUAAUAGGAGAACUCAACUGCCUGACGAAGCAAGAAAUGGAGUAUGGAGUUACAUGUGAAACUGCUGUGCAGACAUGUUUUAUCUCUAUAGAUGAUUUGCUAGAAGCUUUUGAUAAGUUUUUGGAACCCCCCUCCCUAGAAUAUAAAAUAUGGCUGAAACUUGCUCUUGAUAUUGCUCUCAGAACUUUCAAGGAAAACCUUCCUAACCAGGACUGGAAUUACAAGAUGUGUGUGCAACUUUCCAAUAUUUAUUUGCUGGAUGUACCAAACCACACCAAAUGUGACAUUUUUGAUGGGAGUAUGGAUGAGGUCAUUCUUGUACACGGAACUGUUCUAGAUUGUCAACUAGGGCAGCGUUACUAUGCACCAUUUCUUUUACCUAAAACCUGCCAUCAGGUACAAGGCACUGCAUCAUCAACAAAACUGCUGGUUGUACGAAGUUCAGAGCAAGGAGCACGAAAGAACCCUGCAGCAUCCUCAAGCAGCACUGAGGGCCACUAUCAUUCAUCUCGGCGACCUGGUAUGAAACUCAAACUCUCAGCCAUGCAGGAAGAGGAGAAUGGAGCAGGGAGGGAGGACAUAAAAUUGGCAGUACUCAUCAUAGGAGUUGCAUGGGAGAUAGGAGGAGGAAUUGGCCAGAAUUGCCUCCCCCCCUCUAGCGUGCCUCCUCUGUUGGAUCUCAGUUCCUUUCAUGAAUGAAAGAAGCCUGUCCAUUCCUAGAUGGGACACACUGGAUUCAGCCACAAUAAACAGGAUAGUUAAAGUCUUCUUACAGGGAUUUAAUUUCCUGUGAAAAUUUACAAAAUAAUGGGCGAAUGUAAACAAGAUAAAUUUGAAAAGUUCUGUAUUUUAAUAUUGUAUAGGGUUUUUUUCUAAUUCCCCAAAAUUCAUGCAAGUUUUAAAGCCCUUUAAACUUUACAGCUGCCUUGGGACAUGUUUUUGGAAUGAAUCUUUCCAGUCCAAGUACAAUAAACUCUGAUUUGGAGUAUACAUAUUUAAGCUCAAAAAACCCCCAAGGGAAAAAAUAAUGAGAAACACA